RNAcentral lists this transfer RNA (87 nucleotides) under Chitiniphilus purpureus. RNAcentral describes it as "Chitiniphilus sp. CD1 tRNA-Leu". It matches the Rfam family "tRNA". From Rfam's summary of the family: Transfer RNA (tRNA) molecules are approximately 80 nucleotides in length. The record is from RNAcentral. Lineage: Bacteria; Pseudomonadati; Pseudomonadota; Betaproteobacteria; Neisseriales; Chitinibacteraceae.
GCCCCGAUGGUGAAAUUGGUAGACACAAGGGACUUAAAAUCCCUCGGCCGAAAGGCUGUGCCGGUUCGACCCCGGCUCGGGGCACCA